Long non-coding RNA from Pezoporus flaviventris, 728 nucleotides. RefSeq lists it as uncharacterized. The record is from RefSeq and is a predicted model, not a curated record. NCBI's taxonomy places the organism in Eukaryota, Metazoa, Chordata, Aves, Psittaciformes, Psittacidae. The transcript has 3 exons.
GUAACAGAGUUCCUGCCACACUGUGUCUAGAGGACUGCAUAGCGACAGCUAAUAAGAGAGCAACAGCAAGGCAAAUGAGAAUGAGAGACACAGACUGCUUCUGCAUACAUUUGUCUAUAUAUUACUCAUUGCGGUCUAUGCUGCUUUGAGUAGCAGCUAGGAUCAAACUCAGGCUAGAAAAAGGAGAAUACUGGUAUAACACACGGGGAAUGCAGCAACUGCAUGCAGGAUAAUUUAAUUUUUCUUUUAAACUUCUGCUUUCCUACUGAAUUUUUUCCAAGACUGUAAAAAAACCUAUUUAUACUGAAUCUAUGACACUGCAUGGGAAAAUGCAACCUGUAUUUAGAAAUGUGAGAAAGGGUUUAUCUCCUAUCUGGAAAACAACCAGUUAACAGUGACAAAAACCUUAACAAGAGGAACAAGACAAUUAAUGAGAAACUUCCCUGGCAACAGAUCAAUGGGCUUUGGACACAAGUGCUUCAACCAGCACAACCACUCAAUGUUGAGAAUGACUCAACUCUCUCUAAGGAGCAUGACAUCUGUGAUUACUAUUGAUAAAUUGUAAACUCAGCCCAGGAUGAGGAUGUAUUUAUUUCAACAGGAGGGAAGAAUCUUUCUGAAGAUUAAAUUACACCAGCUUUCUCUCCAUGUGUUCUGGACUGCACGCACACACGCAGUCCCGAAGGACGUGCUGCAGAAGGCAUCCAACUUAGUGUCCUUAUAAAAAA